GCCCGCGGUGGCUCAGAUGGAUAGAGCGUCUGCCAUGUAAGCAAGAGAUCCCGGGUUCGAUUCCCGGUCGUGGCA
Molecule: transfer RNA, 75 nt
Filed under: Schistocerca americana (American grasshopper)
Lineage: Eukaryota; Metazoa; Arthropoda; Insecta; Orthoptera; Acrididae
Description: tRNA-Thr
Rfam family: tRNA
About the family: Transfer RNA (tRNA) molecules are approximately 80 nucleotides in length.
Source: RNAcentral